UCCUGCCUCUGUCUGCCCGCCUCUGAACCUGCCCUGCCCUGAACCCGUGGCAUGUAUCUCGGGGGUGGGUCUGAGGAGCAGAAGCCUCUUUAAAAGGCUUCCCUCUUUGCAUUUUUGUCUUCAUGAGGGAGGCUCGUUGUAACAGAAGUCAAAGCAAAAGAAAGCACCCCAGGAUCCCACCUCCAGAGGAAACUGACCGGGGAAACUGAAGCCUCGAAUGGGCAGAGCCUCAUGGCCACGCGGUGAGGCUGUGGCUGGAGCCUGGCUGCGGAGUCCUUGCCCUGAAGCUCCAGCAUCCUGCACAGCCUGGGGCUAAUUGGGAGAGGUACCUGGGAGACCCCCACGCAUGGUUCCUCAGGCUCCGUCUCAGGAGUGUGGGAGUAGGGCUGGCACAGGAAAAUCCACCUUGCACUCUUAUGGCACAUACAGGGCACAGGAUGUCCAGGCAGCAACAUGACUUUGUGACAACACCUAGAGGGAGAGAGACCUGGACCUCAGAUCUGCCACACACUGUGAAGCCUGG
RNAcentral lists this long non-coding RNA (523 nucleotides) under Homo sapiens (human). Its description in RNAcentral is "HSALNT0350612". Lineage: Eukaryota; Metazoa; Chordata; Mammalia; Primates; Hominidae. The record is from RNAcentral.